CGCGUAGGCGGUGCUCUAAGUCCCGUGUGAAAUCCCCCGGCUCAACUGGGGAAUGGCACGGGAAACUGGAGUGCUUGAGUUCGGGAGAGGGAAGCGGAAUUCCGGGUGUAGCGGUGAAAUGCGUAGAUAUCCGGAGGAACACCGGUGGCGAAGGCGGCUUCCUGGACCGACACUGACGCUGAGGCGCGAAAGCUAGGGGAGCAGACG
Molecule: ribosomal RNA, 207 nt
Filed under: uncultured bacterium
Lineage: Bacteria
Description: partial 16S ribosomal RNA
Rfam family: Bacterial small subunit ribosomal RNA
Source: RNAcentral